GACCUUGUGGUGCAACGGUAGCGCAUCUGACUCCCCAGCAGAGGGCUCUGUGUUCAAGUCACGUCAAGGUCA
This 72-nucleotide transfer RNA is filed under the name Scleropages formosus (Asian bonytongue). It matches the Rfam family "tRNA". From Rfam's summary of the family: Transfer RNA (tRNA) molecules are approximately 80 nucleotides in length. Their secondary structure includes four short double-helical elements and three loops (D, anti-codon, and T loops). The record is from Rfam by way of RNAcentral. Lineage: Eukaryota; Metazoa; Chordata; Actinopteri; Osteoglossiformes; Osteoglossidae.